UACAGAGGGUGCGAGCGUUGUCCGGAAUCACUGGGCGUAAAGGGCGCGUAGGUGGUGGCUUAAGCGUGCGGUGAAAGCUCGGAGCUCAACUCCGAGUCGGCCGUGCGAACUGGGCUCACUGGAGCAUAGUAGAGGCAGGUGGAAUUCCGGGUGUAGCGGUGGAAUGCGUAGAGAUCCGGAAGAACACCGGUGGCGAAGGCGGGUCUCUGGGCCGUAACUGACGCUGAGGAGCGAAAGCGUGGGGAGCAAACGGG
RNAcentral lists this ribosomal RNA (254 nucleotides) under uncultured bacterium. RNAcentral's name for it is "partial 16S ribosomal RNA". It matches the Rfam family "Bacterial small subunit ribosomal RNA", at positions 524 to 776 of the family's 1533-position model. The record is from RNAcentral.